AUUUCAAUGUUAUUAUAUCAGGUGAGUUGGGUUUGGCAGCUGAUGAGGUGCUUGUGCAGUAACUGAACCGACCCGACAAGAGAUGUAGCCGUAGCAGGAGUGGCCUUUGUAUCUCUUUGUUUUUGCAUAUAAAAAGAGGAUUGAAGAGCUUAGGAAUUGACAAGGGCGGCAGUAGAAGAAAGAUGAAGAAGAAGAACAAUUCUAAUCCACCACAUGAGGGAAAAUUAACAAAUUAUUCAAACUUUUGAAUCAAAUUACCAGCAAUUGAGAAGAAAAGAUUAAACUUAAGAAGAAAAAAUCCAUUGAAAAGGCCAAAGGUACACUCUUUCUGCCUCUGCUUCUGUAAGUGUAUUAUGGACCCCUCAAUUAACAAGGAGGAGCAUAUGGAUGUUGAUCAAGUCACUUGUCAUUUUAAUUGCCCUUUCAAGGACGUCAUAAUUAUGGAGAUCCUCUGCAGGUUACCAGUACGCUAUCUUGUUCAAUUCAAAUGUGUUUCUAAAUUGUGGAACGCAUUAAUUUCUGAUCCUUACUUUGUCAACAAGCAUCUCAAUCAUGCCAAGAAUGAUCCACAUGCCCCAAAACUACUUUUAUGCAAAAGUUCCUUUGUGGAUUAUACAACUUCCAUUUAUUCUUGUCCUUUAUCGUCCAUUCAACUGAUUGACAAACUACAAAAUUUGAUCCCCCCUUCAAGCUCUGAAAUCAUAAUCUUUUGUACUUACAAUGCUUGGUUAUUAUCCGUGCUUUUGGUCAAACUAUUCAACAAUCCAUACAUAUGUUGUGGAACCCCUCCACAAGAGAAUCAAUACUACUUCCUCAACCAGAAUUUCCAAUGCAGAAUUAUUAUCGUUUGGAAUUGGGUUGUGACUCAACUAUUGGUGACUAUAUGAUCCUAAAAAUUCACUAUCCCAAAGAGGGAAGCAAAGUACGUGGUGAGAUUCUCACGUUGAGAAGUGGUUCCUGGAGAAAUAUUGACAAAUUUCCUCAUGGAAUUAACAGUUAUUUGUCCGGGGAUUCUGCUUUGCCAUUAGUAAACAAUGCAUUUCACUGGAUCUGUAUGUCUGGAGACUAUUUUGCGGUUUCAAGAACUUUCUCUUUAGUUUCAUUUAGUAUUUCAAAUAAAGUGUACUCAGAGAUACCGUUGCCAGAGCAAGUAGAAUAAUAGAGCUAUGUAUUGCUCCCUUUAUUCUUGGAAGAGAUCAGCAAGCAACGUACACAACAAAGCAGCGUAGAAGAAAGAAAACAAUAGAGAGUAUCUAAGCAAUGUUAGCAGACAUCCUCAUAAAGUGAUAAGUUUGAGGUGAUUUGGAUUUGCGGGAGCAUAGUUUUGAUAUAUAUUGGAAGGGGUGCUUGGAUUAUGAGUUUGAGAUACUAUUGCGGAAGGGGAAACUAGUGGGUGAUGGUCUCUUUGUAAAGAUUCCAUUGCUGAGGUGAGUCUUCCCAUCGAUCGUGGAGGCUUCCAUUCAGCUUUAGAUCUUUUAGAUUACAUUUCUUUUUUGUUGGGUUUGUAUGCCCGAAAGUUGAACUCAUGUAAUCUGUUUAGAUGCUCCAUGAACUUAGUGUGGGGCUUGGGUUAAAGAUUUGUUAUUUAACUAUUUUCGUUUACAUAAAUCGCUAUGCGGUAUCUUGUUGGAUAAUUACCCUACGUUAAUGAUUAUUUCAUGCAUGUGGAGUUGCAUAUGCUUUCAUCUCAGUGGUUGUAGACAAGGUGAAUGUUGGUUCUUCCGGCAAGUGGUGUUAGUGGGAGCCAGUCACGCCUAUGGAGUUUUUUUGGGACGUGACAAUAUGUGAUGCCAUUCAGAAUUUAGUGUUAGCUUAUGUAUGAUCUAGGAACUCUUUUCUUUUUCCAGUCACCAUGUUGUAACCUUGUACUGUUGUUAGUUUAUCAACCAGAGUGAUUUUAUUAAUAAGAAUGGUUAACCCCAUCUUCUCUUUUA
Long non-coding RNA from Capsicum annuum, 1934 nucleotides. RefSeq lists it as uncharacterized. The transcript is spliced from 3 exons. The record is from RefSeq and is a predicted model, not a curated record. NCBI's taxonomy places the organism in Eukaryota, Viridiplantae, Streptophyta, Magnoliopsida, Solanales, Solanaceae.